Molecule: ribosomal RNA, 506 nt
Filed under: uncultured bacterium
Lineage: Bacteria
Description: partial 16S ribosomal RNA
Rfam family: Bacterial small subunit ribosomal RNA
Source: RNAcentral
AGUGAACGCUGGCGGUAGGCCUAACACAUGCAAGACGAACGGCAGCACAGGAGAGCUUGCUCUCUGGGUGGCGAGUGGCGGACGGGUGAGGAAUACAUCGGAAUCUACUUUUUCGUGGGGGAUAACGUAGGGAAACUUACGCUAAUACCGCAUACGACCUACGGGUGAAAGCAGGGGAUCUUCGGACCUUGCGCGAUUGAAUGAGCCGAUGUCGGAUUAGCUAGUUGGCGGGGGAAAGGCCCACCAAGGCGACGAUCCGUAGCUGGUCUGAGAGGAUGAUCAGCCACACUGGAACUGAGACACGAUCCAGACUCCUACGGGAGGCAGCAGUGGGGAAUAUUGGACAAUGGGCGCAAGCCUGAUUCAGCCAUACCGCGUGGGUGAAGAAGGCCUUCGGGUUGUAAAGCCCUUUUGUUGGGAAAGAAAUCCAGCUGGUUAAUACCCGGUUGGGAUGACGGUACCCAAAGAAUAAGCACCGGCUAACUUCGUGCCAGCAGCCGCGGUAA